Molecule: ribosomal RNA, 497 nt
Filed under: uncultured bacterium
Lineage: Bacteria
Description: partial 16S ribosomal RNA
Rfam family: Bacterial small subunit ribosomal RNA
Source: RNAcentral
GAUGAACGCUGGCGGCGUGCCUAAUACAUGCAAGUCGAGCGGACAGGCGAGGAGCUUGCUUUGCUGAUGUUAGCGGAGCACGGGUGAGUAACACGUGGAUAACCUACCUAUCAGACGGGGAUAACUUCGGGAAACCGGAGCUUAUACCAGAGAAUAUUUUGAACCGCAUGGUUCAAAGGUGAAAGACGGUGUUGCUGUCACUUCUAGCUGGAUCCGCGCUGCAUGAGAUGGUAGGGAGGGUAACGGCCUACCAAGGCAACGAGGCGUAGCCGACGUGAGAGGGGGAUAGGCCACAUGGGAGCGGGGCCAGCGUCCAUACGCCUAAGGGAGGGAGCAGAAGGGAAUCGUACGCAACGGGCGAAAGUAUGACGGAGCGACGGGGCGUGAGUGAUGGAGGUCUCCGGAGCGGAAAACCCUGCUACGAGGGAAGAACAUCUGUGGAAGGAACCGUGCACAGCGUGACGGUACUGAAUCAGAAAGCACCGGCUAACUACGUG